CAGUAGCCGCGGUAAUACGUAGGGUGCGAGCGUUAAUCGGAAUUACUGGGCGUAAAGCGUGCGCAGGCGGUUCGUUAAGACAGAUGUGAAAUUCCUGGGCUCAACCUGGGGGCUGCAUUUGAUACGUGCUGUCUUGAGUUCGGAAGAGGGUCGUGGAAUUCCCAGUGUAGAGGUGAAAUUCGUAGAUAUUGGGAAGAACACCGGUGGCGAAGGCGGCGACCUGGUCCUUGACUGACGCUGAGGCGCGAAAGCGUGGGGAGCAAACAGGAUUAGAUACCCGCGUAGUCCCUGUCUCUUAUAC
RNAcentral lists this ribosomal RNA (301 nucleotides) under uncultured bacterium. RNAcentral's name for it is "partial 16S ribosomal RNA". It matches the Rfam family "Bacterial small subunit ribosomal RNA", at positions 509 to 807 of the family's 1533-position model. The record is from RNAcentral.